RNAcentral lists this long non-coding RNA (212 nucleotides) under Mytilus galloprovincialis (Mediterranean mussel). The record is from RNAcentral. Lineage: Eukaryota; Metazoa; Mollusca; Bivalvia; Mytilida; Mytilidae.
CAAACCUGGUUAUGGUAGUUUCGACAAGAGUACAUGACAUCGGGAAUAGAUGUUUGUUCAUCAUUGUUAUAAAAAGUGUCUACUUUGUACAUUUUUCAACUGAUUGCCGGCCCACACGUGUGAUCUGUCAAAGAGCAAAGGGACGGAACUCUUAUACAUAGGUCUGACUAAUACCCAUAUUUGUUUUUAAGAAAAUUUAAACAAAAACGUCC